AUUUAGAGCCGGGUAGGGGAGCGCAGCGGCCAGAUACCUCAGCGCUACCUGGCGGAACUGGAUUUCUCUCCCGCCUGCCGGCCUGCCUGCCACAGCCGGACUCCGCCACUCCGGUAGCCUCAUGGCUGCAACCUGUGAGAUUAGCAACAUUUUUAGCAACUACUUCAGUGCGAUGUACAGCUCGGAGGACUCCACCCUGGCCUCUGUUCCCCCUGCUGCCACCUUUGGGGCCGAUGACUUGGUACUGACCCUGAGCAACCCCCAGAUGUCAUUGGAGGGUACAGAGAAGGCCAGCUGGUUGGGGGAACAGCCCCAGUUCUGGUCGAAGACGCAGGUUCUGGACUGGAUCAGCUACCAGGUGGAGAAGAACAAGUACGACGCAAGCGCCAUUGACUUCUCACGAUGUGACAUGGAUGGGGCCACCCUCUGCAAUUGUGCCCUUGAGGAGCUGCGUCUGGUCUUUGGGCCUCUGGGGGACCAACUCCAUGCCCAGCUGCGAGACCUCAGUGAGUCCAGGCCCCUGGAGGCUGGGGAGCAGCUCCACAUGUUGAGCCGAGUUGAGUUCAGUGUGGCCGUAGGCAGGCCCUGGAGCUCUGGGCCAGCGGCACAGCCAGAGAGAGCCCUUGAGGGAGGGAUGAGGGGAGUGUGACCCUUCCUUCCUUCCUUGUCAGCUUCCAGCUCUUCUGAUGAGCUCAGUUGGAUCAUUGAGCUGCUGGAGAAGGAUGGCAUGGCCUUCCAGGAGGCCCUAGACCCAGGGCCCUUUGGUGAGAACCCGUUUUCUCCUUCCUCCCCCAGCCUGUCUUGUCCCAUCCCUGCCCCUCCACAGAGUGCUAGAGAUGACCCCCUCCCCAGACUUCUCCCUCCCUCAAUUAGAAAAAUUGCAGCAGGUCAUCAGACCC
RNAcentral lists this small RNA (899 nucleotides) under Pan troglodytes (chimpanzee). RNAcentral describes it as "processed transcript". The record is from RNAcentral. Lineage: Eukaryota; Metazoa; Chordata; Mammalia; Primates; Hominidae.